Long non-coding RNA from Cryptomeria japonica (Japanese cedar), 2605 nucleotides. RefSeq lists it as uncharacterized. The transcript is spliced from 3 exons. The record is from RefSeq and is a predicted model, not a curated record. Lineage: Eukaryota; Viridiplantae; Streptophyta; Pinopsida; Cupressales; Cupressaceae.
CGCGCUGCUCAUAGGAAAAUGAGUGUGUACGUGCUAAUAAUCCAAAUAUACCCGUGUACGCGAUGCCUGGUAAAAAAGUUUUUAAAAAAAAAUUGGGUCUCAUUUACUCAUGAAUAGCGCAUUUUUUAUUUCAUUUUUUUUCCAUUUCCUCUCCUAAUUCGCGAACAGGGUGCUAGAUUUUUCCUCCAAGCUAUGGAUCAAGGUUAGUUUUUGUUUAUUUUUGUCUUUCUUUCCUGUUUGUUCAAUUUGUUUUACAUUUUGAAUUUAAUUUCAUUAAUUUUGAUUAAGUUUUUUCAUUUUUUGUUUCAAAAACUAGAUUCUUCUAAUUGAGAACAAGAAUAACCAAAUGCACCUCCUAAAAACCCACAAGAACAACCAAAUGCACCUCCUGAAAACACACAAGAACAACCCCUAAUUCCUCCUUUUGACCGUACACCCGAAACACAAGAGCAAUUAAUUAAUCAAUUAGGACAAAAUACGUCUGAAAUCAAUAGACUGAUUGUUAAAUUGAAAACUUCUAAACUUGAGCAUCAUCAAUCCUUCGCCACUAGCCUAGAAACAUUAGCUAGUGGUGCCAUAGUUGUUUCCACACAAAUUACCAAAUGGGGAAGCUUUAGGGAUAGGUGUCAUCAAUUCUAUGCCGAUGGGCUAUCAUACAAUGGAGUAAAAAACAAAAAUAUUACUAAACAACAAAUAUGUGCCCUUUUCAUUGAUCCCAAAACUAGUCAGUCAUUACCUCUUAAAGCAAAGAGGCUUCCCAUACAUUGGUGUACCAGUGUGCAAAUGAAGAAUCUUUUUUGGCAAAGGUGGUGGAUGGUCUUUGAUGAUCCACCUUGUAAUAAUUAUGAGGUGCCAUUAUAUUUUUUGAGAAAAGUAUAUUGUGAGUUUGUGUUCAAUGUGCACCCAAACUAUUUUGACAUGAGAGAGUUCCAUGAUAGAGGUGGUGGCUCUACCCAAGAUAGGCCUGGAGCCCGUAGGCGAUUACCCGCAGAGAGUCGUCGCCGCCUAGCACCCAAACCCAAGGUGCAUCAGGCUGUCCCAGUAGAGCUGAAAGAGUCAAUGGGGCUACAGACUCUUCAGGCGACCACAACAUUGACUGGUGUCAUCAUCUAGCAUGGGACAUCAUUAGGACACCCUAUUGUAUUGGAUGAUGAGCCAUUAGGUGGUGACGAAGAGCCCAUCCAGCAUAUAUGUGUCAGUUGCUUGGGGAUAUGCUCAGGGAUAGAUGAUGCAGCCGGUGCAGAUGGAUCCUCAUCUCAUCUGUGCACGAUUUGCGGGAGUAGAUGUCAGGCCCACACGGUUGAGGAUUUCACACUGAUAGGUGAGUUGAUGGACAUGGUGUUUGCCCAUGAGCCACAGACACAGGUGUGUUGAUUUGAAUUCAUAGUAUUUUAUUUAUCAGUCACUUUAAAUUUGUAAUUAUAUAAAUGAAUUUUCAUUUAUACAUCGAUUUAAUUGAGACAAAUAAUAUGCAUUUCAGGAUGCAGCAACGGUAUCCCAUAUUUCUCCCCCAGUUACUAUAGUUGCAACUUCGAUGCCUGAGAUGUUGACAGGGGACGAAAUGUCCCAGAUUGAUGACAUCACACUCUCAACGAUCGAUUUUGGCCUACAAGGCUAUACGGGUACUCCCUCCGCAUCUAGGGCUUGUCCUAAGAAAAAGAAUUCCUCGAAGACGCCAAAACGUAUGAAGAUUGUAAUUGAACACAUUUUUAGUUGUACAAUUGUUUGAAAAUGUUGAAAUCAAGUAUUAGUUGGGGUUUGUAGAUUGAUUAGUGUUUUUUGUCGAUUUUACAUGUACAACGACCAUUGAGCUAUGUGGAUUUGUUGAAUGCACCUGAUUCACCCGUGGAUCAAGAGAGGGUGAAUGUAUGUAUCUCUACUUUAUUUUUUUGAUUUCAUGAUUAAAUGCACGCGUACAUGUGAACUUGUGAUAUAUUAUAAUCUUUUAAUUUUUUCAUACAGGAAAUAUCCAUACUUAUUUCAUCAAUGGCGAACCCUCUUCCUUGCACUAGAGAAGCAUCUCAGGAUCCGGUACACUUUUGUUUGAUAUGUUAAAUUAAUUAUUUUUAACCUUCAAUACUUAUCAUUAUAUUAAUUGUAUUUAAACUUUGAACAUUUUUUGUAUAGGUAAUAGCGAUAGUUUGAUAUAUUUAUGUUAGUACAUUGUAUUAUUUGUACAUUUAAUCUACAAUAGACCCCUUCACAGUACGACCAUAAUGUGGAUCUAUUUAAGUAUGUCUUCAAGAAAACUCCUAAGAGUGACAAGGAAAGGAGAGCGAAAACAUUAGCUCCUAGAUCAGUCGAUGAGGUAAUCUACAUUGCAAUCACAAAGGAAUUAAAGUUAAAUGCAUAGUUAUGUUGUUAAUUGUGAACUAUUUUCUACAAAAGAAUUCUAACUUGGCUUUUGAAUUGUGGUUUUGCAGCCAUCUACAAAGUUGCGUACAACAUCAAAGAGGCUUGAUUUUGAUGAUCCACCACAAGUUUAGGAUCAUAUAGUGUUAUUUUAUAUCAUAGAAUGACCAAUACAUGUAGAUAUAUUCUACAUUUUUAUUGUAUAUCUAUUUGGACAUGGCAUAUGCCACAUUUUUGUAAUACUUGUAUUGAC